This is a long non-coding RNA of Naja naja (Indian cobra), 1668 nucleotides long. The record is from Ensembl. NCBI's taxonomy places the organism in Eukaryota, Metazoa, Chordata, Lepidosauria, Squamata, Elapidae.
AGAGAAGGUGGCAUACACUUCAGGUUGUCAGUUGCCCUUAAUGGAACGCCAAACGGAAGGCGACCGACAUUUACCGCCUGAAAUUCGACGAUGUUUUAAACAGGCUGUUGGCCAGAUAACUCAAAUGAACUCUUAUACUUUAUGUACAGGGCUCAUUCUGGCCGUUUAAAUGGCAGAACCUCGAUGGAGAACCGGAGUUUGUGGGCAACCAUAUGUUUCCCUAUCUCUUCGCUCUAUUAGAGGCGUAGCGCAUUCCAGGACAAGACAUCGGGAAAGGGCAAGCUAACAGCGCAUGCGCACUCCUUAAAGCCUCUAGGGAAAGCGGCAGGCAGCGAUUCCAUCACUACUUCCGGAUUCCAAUGGGACGCUGUAUAUACUGCAUGUGGAGUGGAGACGUUUAAUUGAAUAGCUCCUGUUUAAUAGCUCCUAAUAUUCUCCUCCCCGCCCUGCUGGUUGGGGAUGAUGGGGGUUGUGGUCCCACAUCCUUCCAAGUCUACAGGUUGGGAGAGGAGUGGUGCAAUCCUAGGGAUGAGAACUUAAUCUGCAUUAUUAUUGCCAGGGAAUGCCUAUAGCUGGCAUCCCAACUUGCAAAAAAUACAUCUUUUUUUAAUUAAAUAAUAAUAAUACCCCCCCCCAGGGUUGCACGCCUCGCUUCCUCCCGACCAAGCCGCAAAUAAAACAGACUCUGCAAAAGUCAUCAGCCGGCUUUGCAUUUAGGGGGUUAACUGGAGGGGGUUCAGCCCAACGUCGUCCCAGCCGGCUCCUUCGCCCACUUUUGUGUUUUGUUUUGCUAGCAAGGCACAUUUGCAGAGUCGAGUGGGGCAUAUAUCUGAAGCUGCAGCAUAAUAUUGCAAAAGGGGAAAAAAACUUUUUCAUUUAAUGACCUCUGCAAAGCCGGUUUUGAGCCAACCACGAUGAUUGCAAACCAUGGUUAGAAGAAGGCUGGGUUGAAAAGCGGAGGAGGGGGGAGGAAGAGAGGGAGGGAAGUCAAAGGUUCUCACGCUUUAUUUACGCGCUGCCUCCUUCCCCGCCUCCUUUGGACGCGUGCUGGGCUGCUUCCUCCUCCUCCUCCUCCUUGCUGGACUCUUCCCCCUUCCUAAGUCGUCGGAAAGAAGCGCUGCGGAGGCCCGAAAACGGGAAAAAGCCCUAGGCGUUUGCAUUGCAUUGCAUUGCAUUCCUUAUUUUAUUUUAUUUUUUUGCAAACGACCCGGGGCUUUGGCAGACACGCGUUGGCCGAGAACAUGGGAACCCCGGCAGAUUCCCAAGACGGGCUCCCACUUUGAUCAAAACCGAUUGCAAAGAGGGAGGGAGGGGACCCCCGUGCAGCAGACCCGAUUAGGGUGGCCGGUGGGCUGCUUCUCCCAUGGCUGGGUGUCUCGAAGAGGACGACGUCCCCCUGAUCCUGACCUUAGAGGACGGCAGGAGCCGGAGGGUCGAUCCGGAGGGAGUCCCCAACGAAAAGCUCCCCUUCACAAAAAUGGGGGGUUUCUGAGAAUUCAGCACAGCCGAUCUCAUGAGGUCUAGGAACUUGACAAGUUUCCAGGGACACAAACUUCUCAAACGCCUCCAUCACAAUUUUAACCUUAAGAGGGUCUCGCCUUCCUAGGGAAGAGGAGGUCUUACGAGCAGAGAGGCCAAAAAUGGAGUUGCCUAGAGCGUACAAUCUUU